AAAGUUCUUUUAUUUAGGAAAAAAAGCUUGAGAGGAAAUGAUUAAGCCUUGAUAGUACUAAAUGAAUAAGUGACAGCUAACUAUGUGCCAGCAGCUGCGGUAAAACAUAGGUCACGAGCAUUAUCCGGAUUUAUUGGGCGUAAAGGAAGCGUAGGCGGACAAAUUGAUCUAUUGUUAAAGGCACUUGCUCAACGAGUUGUUUGUGAUAGAUAUCGUUUGUCUAGAAUUAGUUAGGAGAUACUGGAAUUCAAUGUGUAGCGGUGGAAUGCGUAGAUAUAUUGAGGAACUCCAGAGGCUAAGGUGAGUUUUUAGGACUAUAUUAUUCCCUGAGGCUUAAAGCGUGGGGAGCAAACGGGA
This 357-nucleotide ribosomal RNA is filed under the name Candidatus Mycoplasma haematominutum. RNAcentral describes it as "bacterial SSU rRNA". It matches the Rfam family "Bacterial small subunit ribosomal RNA", at positions 427 to 777 of the family's 1533-position model. The record is from RNAcentral. Lineage: Bacteria; Bacillati; Mycoplasmatota; Mollicutes; Mycoplasmatales; Mycoplasmataceae.